CCUACGGGUGGCAGCAGUGGGGAAUAUUGCACAAUGGGCGCAAGCCUGAUGCAGCCAUGCCGCGUGUGUGAAGAAGGCCUUCGGGUUGUAAAGCACUUUCAGCGGGGAGGAAGGCGUUAAGGUUAAUAACCUUGUCGAUUGACGUUACCCGCAGAAGAAGCACCGGCUAACUCCGUGCCAGCAGCCGCGGUAAUACGGAGGGUGCAAGCGUUAAUCGGAAUUACUGGGCGUAAAGCGCACGCAGGCGGUCUGUCAAGUCGGAUGUGAAAUCCCCGGGCUCAACCUGGAAACUGCAUUCGAAACUGGCAGGCUAGAGUCUUGUAGAGGGGGGUAGAAUUCCAGGUGUAGCGGUGAAAUGCGUAGAGGUCUGGAGGAAUACCGGUGGCGAAGGCGGCCCCCUGGACAAAGACUGACGCUCAGGUGCGAAAGCGUGGGGAGCAAACAGGAUUAGAUACCCUAGUAGUC
RNAcentral lists this ribosomal RNA (465 nucleotides) under uncultured Klebsiella sp. RNAcentral's name for it is "bacterial SSU rRNA". It matches the Rfam family "Bacterial small subunit ribosomal RNA", at positions 338 to 795 of the family's 1533-position model. Lineage: Bacteria; Pseudomonadati; Pseudomonadota; Gammaproteobacteria; Enterobacterales; Enterobacteriaceae. The record is from RNAcentral.